This is a long non-coding RNA of Solanum lycopersicum (tomato), 1992 nucleotides long. RefSeq lists it as uncharacterized. The record is from RefSeq and is a predicted model, not a curated record. NCBI's taxonomy places the organism in Eukaryota, Viridiplantae, Streptophyta, Magnoliopsida, Solanales, Solanaceae.
AAAAAGUGCGGGAUUUUCUUUUGGAAUGAGUGAAUCAUUCUAGACACGAGCUAAAAUGCAUAUAUUAAUCGCUUCUCUAAUUUGGAAAAGGAGAUUAACGUAAUUAACAAAACACAUGGAUCUUAAAAGACAGCAAAAAAAUAAAAUAAAAUAAAUAAAAAUUAAAGAACAAAAGAACAUAUAAAAAUGAAAUUAAGAAGAAUAUAAGACAAGAGAAACAAUAUAAGAUCACUUUCUUUCGUUCAAGUAUUCACCAAACCUUCAAGUGUAUACAAUAUGAACUCUUAUGUCUCUAUUUAUAGUGUAACAUAGAGGAAUACAAAAGGUUAAUAAUAAAUAUAAUAUUAACAUGAAUAUAAUUAGGAGGUUAUGAAAGUGAAAGGUUACAACAAUAAUGGUUAUAAAGGUGGAGGUUAUGGAGGUUAUGGUCAUUUUCAUAAGGAAAGUAGUGGAGAUAAUGAGUAACUUCUUGGUGCACUAGACAUCCACACUAUAAUAUUUUAUAACAAGGAAGUCAUAUAGAACUAGAUGACAAACAUUAUAGACUACAUUUGAGAAUAUAUGUACAAAAGAAAACUAAAUGUCAUCGACAUUCAACUUUGAAAUUCUAAAAAAUAUACUUAAAGGAACAAUAUAAUGAAUAUGCACUAACUAAAUACAAAUUAAAAAUAUAUAACCAGUAUACAGACGGAACAAUAAUUUUUGAUAAGAAACUUAAAAUUUGUAGAACUAGACAUAUAAUAUAGCCAAAGGAGGUUCGACAUCUAUUAUAUAUACAUAUAAAAUUAAUUUAAUUAUGUAUAAAUAAUAUAAUUUUUCGCCGAAAAGAAUUUGUAUGAACCCUUUCACAUAAGGUGGCUCCGCCCUGCGGGCGUACUGAUCCCAUGCUAAAUUAGCUUUAGAAAACUAUUUACGCAUAUUUCAAAUUUAUAACACAAUUUUCUAAAUAAAUGAUUGAGAAGAGUGAGGAAGGCAUGUGCUUGGCAUAUAUUUGGAACGUAGAAACCUUAUGUGGUGCCAACGUGGCUGCUUGGGUGGUGCUUACGUGGAAGAGGAAUGUAAGAAUGAGCUUCUUUAUGGACCACUGGUGGGUUAGAUUCUAGCUUCGAUUGAAUUUUUUGGUUCUUUUUUUUUCUUUUAACUUUUUGGCCUUCUAACUUAAUAACCAAUAUUAUAUAUAAUAUACUAUACUUAAAUCCCAUAAUGUAAAAUUUUAAAUUACCUUUUAUUUUUAUUUUUUUCUAUUUUAUAAAAAUUCCUUAUAAUUAUUACUGUUCGGAUUCAUAAAUUUCAUCCUGAUACAUUAUAUAUGAUACAUUAUAAAUUUUUCUGUACAUUUAAUAUGGAAUAUUAAUGUAAAAUUGAUUUUCUUUUCAUUUGAUUUUCUUUUCCCAUAAAUCAUGCAAAAUUGAUUGAUAUUAAUAUAUUCCAAAUCUGUAACAACUUCACAAUAUUCAAAAAAUAAUUUUCAUAUUCUCCAUGAGUUCAAAUUCUUGAAUAUGAUCAAAUCCGUCAUUGUAGAUAAUUAGACAAACGAUCUCGAAUCGUCAAUCCGAGAUCGUCAAGUAUAAGAAAUUGUUGAGAAAUAUGGUUUCAAUGUAUCACGCAAAAUUGAUUGGACAAAUAAUUUUUUUGGUGAAUCUCAAAUCCGCCAUUGUGGAUAAGAUAACGAAAAGUUUCAUGAAAAUAGAUCUAAUCAACAAAACGAUCUAUUAAUCGUAAAGAAUUUGAGAUCGAAGAAGUCAAAAAAAGGAUUAUACUCGAGUUUGAAGUCUACUAUUGAAAAAUUUGGAUCUGUCUUAACACAAUCUUCACUGUCAAAAAAUGCAUAUCUAUAAUGUAUCUCGUUUAUUUUUAUUCUUAAAUUAGUCUUUGUUAGUGUUAUUACUAAUCUGAUACAUUACUACUAUAAUGUCUUCAUUUUAUGCAAUGUAUCAUCUCCUAAUCUUUCAGCCUAACCACCCAAGAUAAAUGAAUUUCGAUUUAUUUCUA